Long non-coding RNA from Lolium perenne, 5584 nucleotides. RefSeq lists it as uncharacterized. Lineage: Eukaryota; Viridiplantae; Streptophyta; Magnoliopsida; Poales; Poaceae. The record is from RefSeq and is a predicted model, not a curated record.
UCCCCUCUCCCCGAAACCCUCUGAAAUCGACAUCCUCCUCCCCCUCUCCCCGAAACCCUCGUCCCUUUCCUCUCCUUGCGUCCACGCCGCCGCCCUCCCUCUCCAAGCUCGCAUCACAGCACCGCAGGAAACCAGCGGCUUGGAGGAGCGCGCGAGCCACGGCAGGCCGAUGCGGAGAUCGGUCACUGGAGCUCGUCCUUCGGCCGCCGCUCGCCCCGCAAACUCAUCUCGUCGCAUCGCCGGGAGGAGCAGCAGGUUCAGCGCCGACGGCUGAUGCGGGAGAGAGGCUGCCUCCUUCCUUUCUCCUCUCAACCAAUUUCCACUUCUGCACAAGAAACGUGGAUGCCCGUCGCGGCACCUUGCGAGAGGAGGCAGUAGGACGGUGGCGGCAGCAGUCUGCUCCCUCCUGUUGUCUGACGGGGAAGAGGAAGGAGGCGACAUAGGAAGGAGGAGCAGUCAGAGGAGCUAGAGCGGCAGCGGUAAGAAGAGGUGAUGUGGAAGAUCGCCUCCGUGAAGCCCCUCUCCAUCAUCUUCUGGCUUGAGGACGCCAAUAUCAUUCUUGACCAGUACAAGCCAACAAAGGCACUCAUAACCUCCUCCCCUCUCUCAUCCCCUACCCACAAUUUCUCAUAUUUAUUUUUGUUGAUGUUUUGUAUCUAUGCAUAUAAGGUGUUUUAGGAAAAUCCAAAAAAGGCUGCAGUACAAGCUAGAACAUGUAUGUGGCUAUUCACUGGUGUUCUGUGCGUGCAGGUUACGGAUCAGAGGAACGCACGGCCGUAGUCACUAGCACCGUGAAAUUUUCCACAACGUGGUGUGGGCUUCUUUAUCCACCUGCCGGAUGCUGGAAUGGUGAACUUUUUUGUUGUUGUUAGGAGCACAGUCUCCGAAGCAUACGCAUCAGGAGGUGGGAAUGAAGCACAAGCUCCUCAUGGAUGUUUCCAAAAUAAUAACUUCAGGAUCAAGUGGCAUUUCCGACGAGAAGUCUAGGAAUCUUUCUGCCAAAUCAAAAUCAGAGACGAAGGAUUAUUUUUCUUCUCAAAUUAUGACACCUCAAAAAAGAGAGGUGAGAAAUGCGGGUUCAGACAAUGUGUUCUUCUUCUUUUUCUUGGUUUACUGCGUGCUUCCACCAUCCUUAUUAUAUACAAUGGUGUUUGAGGAUCUCAUACACAGAGAAGAUAUGAACUAAAGACUUGUUGUGGAGAUCUAUGGUAAUACCAUACUUAUUCUAUUCCCAAGUUAAUCACUGCAAAGAUAAAAUAAUUUGGACUAGCAUCCUAAUUUUCAACUACUAUUAAUCUUCCAACAAGAUGAAAGGAAAAAAGCAUCUUGGUGUUAUCUCAGUUUUUGUAAGUGCAUAAAGAUUUCAUGUUGAUUCCUCUCUGUUCUUUGUAUGGUUAUGAUGUGUCCCCUUGCAAUGCAAGAUUGUCAAUACCAAUAGUAGGUUUUAUUUUUUAGUAAACUAACUUUUUGUGUGAUAACUGGAGUACAAUGUUUGUCUCUGCUCCAGAUUUAGUUGUUCCUGACGCAGCCCAAUUUAAGUGGUAGUUCAGCUCGUUUUUUAUUUUUAUUUUGUUAGCAGCACAUAAUUUUUCUUCUGAAUGUUAGGAAUGAAUGAGCUUCAUCUAAACAGAAUAGCAAUGCUACAAGGUCUUAUCAGGCAUCAUGCUCUACUCUCUUUCAAUGCAAGCCUGCCUGUAGUUUUAGCAGCAAUUAUCAUUAUGUGUUUUUGUGGUACUAUAUGCAUUAUUGCAUUAUCAAAAAAGUGUAACCCGACCAUGGUUAUGCUUGCUUAACAUUCUGGUCUUCUGGAGUUCCGGACUAGUGUGUUCACUAUUUCCGGUGGACAUUCAUGAAAUAAAUAUGAGUUCUUAUUUCUUUUUUUAGCUCAAUAAAAUAUUUCAUCUGUAUCUACUAUUCUACUGAAUUGAACGUCAUAUUUCUUGACCCAUAUACCUCAUGAAUAAAUACAGGUUCUGAAUUCUUCAUCCAUUAAAUCACAUGUUUCAUUUGCUUGUACCCCAUUGGACGGUAUCAUGUUUCUUCUCCUCGGUGAAUACUAAAAACUCUUGCUUCUAUACAACUUAUAUGCAAGAUUGCCUAGGGCUAAGCUAUUGAGAGGAAUCUCAAUGCUGCCUAGAGCAUAUAAUAGGAUGUCCACCUGCUUCGUGAAAAUUGCCCUCUGAAAGCUAAGUUUCUUGAUCUUAUACUCCUUGGGCAAAUUAUAUUUUUUUACUUAUGUAGUUAAUUUGGAGUGACAAAAUGAUCUGACUAUCUUGGAACCCUGAGAAUGCACUGCUGUGUAUGUUCUAAUGAACAUUGGACCUGGAGUGCUAUUAACAUUUUGGUGCGUGUUCAGUCAAAAGACAAGUACUCAGAAGUACUCAGAGCAACAAGUUAAUACUCUACCCGUAGAAUAUGAUCUAUCGAGUUGCUGCAGUUAUAUUAACGGAGGCUAUACAUUUCCUUGAGUAGAUUCAUUGGAGUUUUAGUAAGUAUCUGUAUCCACAUGUUUAUCAAUCCCUUUUCUAUAAUAGGCUAUAUGUAUAGUGGGAUCCCGAAGUGGUCCUCGGGGCAUUUAGGUAGAUUAUACACAUUUGAGUUCAUGGUGCGCACCAUCAUGUCUCCUGAAUGCCAUACAGUUCUAUCAUUUCACAAGGACAUAGUGUUUUCUGCAUUAAGGCCAGGGUUAACACAACAAGGUAAAAAAGAAUUGGUCAGAGACUUAAUUGGGCAUCAAAAUUUGAAAACACGAUAGAAAUAGUAUGCUAUAAUUGGUAGUGUUACAGUUUAACAAACAAUAUUUGACCACAUGAAAAUAGGUCGGCUUUGUCUGCCAUUCACGUCAUAGAAGUUACCUUUUUCAACAAGAAUAAUCACGGAGAUGCGAUGUGAUGACUACCUUUUAUCAUUCUUGUAUAUGAAAAGAGUAUCGUAGUUGCAUUAUUUUUUCGGUCCUCAUAUAUCUGCAUUGUCUUGAAUUUAUCAUCUUUCAGGAAAAGAAAUUGAUUUUUUUAGAACCAGAGAGAGAUGGGCCGACAGAGAUAUAGAAAUUGAUAGACAGAGAUCCAGCCAAAGGGAUGCUUCGUCAAGACCUCCAUCGACAUCAGGCUCUGCCCCGCAUGCCUCCCCUAAGCUGUGCACUCCACGUCUCCACCACCCAACGGGCAACCACCAGCGCGUCUACCAGGCCAACGAGAUCAUCGAUGCCUCCAACAACAACAUCAACCACAGAUCAGCAGGUGUCUGUCUGCACGCAACCCUCGGGUGCUAAGUUUCCUAAUUUUACAUGUGCAACCCUGGUGGAUUGGUGAAUAUGUACUGAAAUUCUUGGCCAACGUUGUCUUGCUGCACUACAAUAUUAUACCGAAUGACAAGCUGUAGCGAUCUCAAGCUGGAUUGGUCUUCAAGCGCCUGCAAAAGCCAAUGAGAUAAUGAAAUUAUUGGUGAUUCCAAAUGGAGAGGAUUUGGUUGCUUCAUGUUCUUUGUUCUGAAUAGCACAUAAAUUUCAGCUUAUCUGCAUGGUCUAUAAUAUUUUCUUCGAAGAUUCACAAAAGGUAUGAUUCCUGAACUUUGAAUACUUCAAUAUACAUUUGGCAUUACCAACUUCCCAAAUUUUGUCGAUCUAUAUAGCAAUAUUUUUUAUUGUUCCCCAUGUAAAAGUUAAGUUACAUGUAUCGUAUACUUUGUUGUACAAGUAGCUUACUUAUAUCUAUGUAGAUUUAGUAGCACAUCAGACUGAUCACGUAGCAGGUAAAAGCUGAUGCCUGAUGGGUUCAAUCACAAUUUGUUAUUGCUCUGUUCUUGAUUGAUAGUUAAAUGUAAGGUUAUAAAAUUAAUGGAUAUAGAUUUAUGACACUGUUUGUACCGAGAGUUUAUACUCUUCGAAUAUCGAGAUAUUUCAUUGUUAGUGCGCUAUGAUAUUUGAGCAACCAUAUUAACAAGAGUAACAACAAUGUUUAGGAUUGAUCCGGCUUCAGGUAACAACCAUAUUAACAAGAGUAACGGCAACAAUCGCAUGCAUCUCCAUCUCAUCAUCGAUGAUAGAGGUGAAAUGCUGGGAUGCAGCCAGGUUGGGAUACAACAGUUUUGCUUGUGAGCCAUGUCUUGUUGGUAUUUUCCUAGGUUUAAACGAGGCAUAGAAAUUUUUGUUUCCUGUAAUACGAAGGUCCGCCUUGAUUGUUGAUCCCGAGGUGGAAGAAGAUUGAUCAUAGGGGUGUAUUGUUCGCUUACAUUUUUUGUGUUCAUAUUGGCCUGAACCAUAUAAGAUAGAUUGGAACUUGGUUAGAAAUCUAGCGAAGAGAGAUGUCUCACAAAAUUCCUGUACGUACUAUGUGAAAACAUGCUUUCAUAAUAGAUUAGGACAAAUUUCAUGUUUGACCUACUUCAUUGGGACAAAAUGUAGCAGCUGGCAGUUCUGAACUACCUUAUGUUUUGAGCUUGACUUGCUCACAAAAUUGUAGGAUCCUUUCAUAGGCUAAGCUUGCAUUAUUUGUUUUCUUUUCUACCUGUUGCAAAAUCUUUCUUUGCUGCAAAUAUUGGUACUGUCCUCCCCAUUUGCCAGGUACAGCUCUAGGUCAAUUCUCCUAUAUUCUAUUUACGUGCGUGAUUUCAACAAUAUUAAGAUCUCAUAUGCAUGUUUGAUGGUUCAUAGCAGCCCCUUGCUUCUUUAUUUCAGGCUCAAGCUAAGUUAUAGUAUUUGUUAUGUUGACUGAGUAUAACGAAGUGCUUUCCACGAUAGAACUCAAGGGGCGUGAGGGAUAGUAUACUAAUAGCACAAACGUGUGGACUAAUCUGUUGUUUCUUUGGACAAAAAUUAGCUAGAAGGAUAAGAGUACUAAUACAUAUUCUAGCCUCUAAAAUUCUAAGUGUGAGACCAAGUUGUAUCAUAUCUGAAGAUUUGCCAAAGAAGUGUUAGACCAAGUUUUAUCAUAUCUGAAUGUUUGCCAAAGAAGUGACAUACCCAGUUGUAUACACGCAAGUGAGUUAUUUACUGACCUUGUGCAUUUCUCUUGAUCAUUUCGAUAUUCUUUAAAUGGUAGAAAAGGCAUUACCACCUGUGGUGCCACAUAUAGCACCAACAGCCAAUGUCUUUGGUGUCGUUUUGAACUCUUCAAAAACGACAUAGUACAGAACUUGGUGAUCUAGCUGUGGACUGUGGUGAUCUAGACGUGCUGGUGUACAUUGUAUACUAUACAAGAUCUGUAAAGUCUAGCAUAUAAUCCUUUUUCUCCUACUGCUGAUUUGAUUGUUGUAUUUCUACCUCUGUACCUUACUUAAACCUAAAACUGACCGUAACUUGCCAUCGGCACAAGAAAAAGGGCAUUGUAAUCAUUUUCGGUUUGCCAGGGGUUGCAAGUGAUUCUAGAUAAGGAGGAACGUGUAAUAAUUUUUGUUUUACUCAUUCUUUUCUCUUCUGUUCUGAAAUUUGGAUUGUCCAAGCACCAUGUUAUUAUUUUGGCAACAUCUUAAGGUGAUAAAAUAGACAUGGCAUUAAAAAUAGAUGUCCAGGUACCAAACUAUGAUCCGUGAUCAUUUAGUUUCCUGUUUGUCCUUUCGAUCCAGUCAGCAGCGCAAUGUCCCCUAA